RNAcentral lists this ribosomal RNA (1698 nucleotides) under Triticum aestivum (bread wheat). RNAcentral describes it as "partial small subunit ribosomal RNA". The record is from RNAcentral. Lineage: Eukaryota; Viridiplantae; Streptophyta; Magnoliopsida; Poales; Poaceae.
AUGUCAACUCCGGCGUUGUAUCCUACUAUAAAUACCCAAUCGAUCCAGGAUCCAAAGCACCAAACCACACAACCAUUAGCAACUCCUAGUUGCCGGCCACUGCAAGUAGCUAAGCUUAGCUCCAAGGAGCUAGCAGAGAAGAAGCCUAGCUCGGUCAGGACAGGAGAGGCAGAUAUGGAGGUGGAGGCCAGCGCUCAUGGCGACACGGCGGCGAGCAAGUUCACGCUGCCCGUGGACUCGGAGCACAAGGCCAAGUCCUUCAGGCUCUUCUCCUUUGCCAACCCGCACAUGCGCACCUUCCACCUCUCCUGGAUUUCCUUCUUCACCUGCUUCGUCUCCACCUUCGCCGCGGCUCCGUUGGUGCCCAUCAUUCGCGACAACCUCAACCUCGCCAAGGCUGACAUUGGCAAUGCCGGAGUGGCCUCCGUGUCAGGGUCUAUCUUCUCCAGGCUGGCCAUGGGUGCCAUCUGCGACCUUCUUGGGCCGCGGUACGGCUGCGCCUUCCUCGUCAUGCUCUCGGCUCCCACGGUCUUCUGCAUGGCCGUCAUCGACGAUGCAUCGGGCUACAUCGCAGUCCGCUUCCUCAUCGGCUUCUCCCUCGCCACCUUCGUGUCGUGCCAGUACUGGAUGAGCACCAUGUUCAACAGUAAAAUCAUUGGCACGGUGAAUGGCCUCGCGGCCGGGUGGGGAAACAUGGGUGGCGGCGCCACACAGCUCAUCAUGCCCCUCGUCUUCCAUGCUAUCCAAAAGUGUGGUGCCACGCCAUUUGUGGCAUGGCGUAUCGCCUACUUCGUGCCUGGAAUGAUGCACAUUGUGAUGGGCUUGUUGGUACUCACAAUGGGCCAAGAUCUUCCUGAUGGCAACCUUGCAAGCCUCCAGAAGAAGGGAGACAUGGCCAAGGACAAGUUCUCCAAGGUCCUUUGGGGUGCCGUCACCAACUACCGGACAUGGAUCUUCGUCCUCCUCUACGGCUACUGCAUGGGCGUCGAGCUCACCACCGACAACGUCAUCGCCGAGUACUACUAUGACCACUUUCACCUAGACCUUCGCGCCGCUGGAACCAUCGCCGCUUGCUUCGGCAUGGCCAACAUCGUCGCACGUCCUAUGGGCGGCUACCUCUCCGACCUUGGCGCUCGGUACUUUGGCAUGCGUGCUCGCCUUUGGAACAUCUGGAUCCUCCAAACCGCUGGCGGAGCUUUCUGCAUCUGGCUCGGUCGUGCAUCGGCCCUUCCUGCCUCAGUGACUGCCAUGGUCCUCUUCUCCAUCUGCGCCCAGGCUGCAUGUGGUGCUGUAUUCGGUGUCGCACCAUUCGUUUCCAGACGUUCCCUUGGGAUCAUCUCUGGGCUCACCGGCGCGGGUGGCAAUGUGGGAGCUGGGCUCACACAACUUCUAUUCUUCACUUCGUCGCAAUACUCCACUGGGAGGGGUCUCGAGUACAUGGGCAUCAUGAUCAUGGCUUGCACGCUGCCCGUCGCUCUUGUGCACUUCCCACAGUGGGGCUCCAUGUUCUUCCCAGCCAGCGCCGAUGCCACGGAGGAAGAGUACUACGCCUCCGAGUGGUCGGAGGAGGAGAAAAGCAAGGGUCUCCAUAUCGCAGGUCAAAAGUUCGCCGAGAACUCCCGCUCGGAACGUGGAAGGCGCAACGUCGUCCUUGCCACAUCUGCCACGCCACCCAACAACACACCUCAACAUGUAUAA